RNAcentral lists this ribosomal RNA (305 nucleotides) under uncultured bacterium. RNAcentral's name for it is "bacterial SSU rRNA". It matches the Rfam family "Bacterial small subunit ribosomal RNA", at positions 336 to 658 of the family's 1533-position model. The record is from RNAcentral.
CUCCUACGGGAGGCAGCAGUGGGGAAUAUUGCACAAUGGGGGAAACCCUGAUGCAGCAACGCCGCGUGAGUGAAGAAGUAUUUCGGUAUGUAAAGCUCUAUCAGCAGGGAAGAAGAUGACGGUACCUGACCAAGAAGCCCCGGCUAACUACGUGCCAGCAGCCGCGGUAAUACGUAGGGGGCAAGCGUUAUCCGGAUUUACUGGGUGUAAAGGGAGCGUAGACGGCAAUGCAAGUCUGGAGUGAAAGGCGGGGGCCCAACCCCCGGACUGCUCUGGAAACUGUAUAGCUGGAGUGCAGGGGAGGG